CGAUCUCAACUUCCUCUAACCACUCCCUGGGCCGUCGUGAACCUCGCCACCGCCCAGCUUAGCCUCAUCCAUUCCACAUCACCUAUGGCCGGGGAGCCUUGAGCCGUUCUCCGCCCAGAUCCCGUCUCUCAGCCGUUCUGGCAGCGGCCAACAGCACUCGGCAAGUUACGGUGCUAGCAAAGUACGGCGAGCGGUGGUGGCGGGAAACGGCGAGUGGCUGCGCAUGGUGUUGUGGGAGUGGUGGUGGUGGCGGCAAACGGCGAGCGGCGGCGGCACGGGCUGAUGGGCUAGCGGGGGCUGGGGUCCAGGGCUGAUGGCCGAGCGGCGGGGCGUGCUAAUGAGCGACCGGCGCCGUGGGCUGAUGUUCUGCGCUGAUCAGUUCUCUAGCGAACAGCCGCCCGAGGCAAGGUCUUCUCCCCACCUAGCCAGAAGUUUGAUCCUUCCGAAGAGUUUCUAUUCGCAAGAUGUAUGGUUGAAAAAGGAUUGAAAUAUUGGUGUGACACUAAUAAUUCUUACUAAGAUGUGAUUUCUAUAUCAAUGUGAUGAUUCCUGAACAAGUAAGUUUGUUCCCUCUAGCUCAAUUAAAUUCCAGCCCAUUAUAUCAUUGUUCAUCUCUCUUAUAACUUCUUAGGUAUUGGGAAGUAAUAUUGGAGAUAAAUCGAGUUGUGAUAAUGCUCAUGAUACUAAUAAUGACGAUGGUAUCUAUGGCAAUAUGGGAGAUUAUAUAUAUGGUGAGGAGCCUUAUGAUCAGUACGACGAUAAUGGUGAUGAGUCUGAUGAUCUUCGAGUCAUGCAACAAAGUAAAGUUAUGAAGUUCAUUGAAAAUUAGCUUAUGCGAAAUGCUUGGACCAUUAUAUCUUAGUUACCAUUUUGUUUUGCAUGGGACACUUCUUAGAUGCAUCACUAUGGUCAUUGUAAUAUUGAUUCAACUCAUUAGACAUUUUAUACUUUUUGAUGUUAUGCUGAAUAUAAUAUAUUUUCUUUGGUCAUUUGUAGUUGUGUGAUUAUGAGAUGUAUUUGAAAUGCCAAUAUUUUGAAAUA
Long non-coding RNA from Triticum aestivum (bread wheat), 1041 nucleotides. RefSeq lists it as uncharacterized. Lineage: Eukaryota; Viridiplantae; Streptophyta; Magnoliopsida; Poales; Poaceae. The record is from RefSeq and is a predicted model, not a curated record. The transcript has 3 exons.